ACUCAAAGGAAUUGACGGGGACCCGCACAAGCAGUGGAGUAUGUGGUUUAAUUCGAAGCAACGCGAAGAACCUUACCAAGGCUUGACAUCCCUUGAAUACUGUAGAGAUACAGGAAGCCCUACGGGGCAAGGAGACAGGUGGUGCAUGGUUGUCGUCAGCUCGUGUCGUGAGAUGUUGGGUUAAGUCCCGCAACGAGCGCAACCCCUAUUGUCAGUUGCCAUCAUUAAGUUGGGAACUCUGGCGAGACUGCCGGUGAUAAAUCGGAGGAAGGUGGGGAUGACGUCAAAUCAUCAUGCCCCUUAUGUCUUGGGCUACACACGUACUACAAUGGGCAUUACAGAAGGAAGCGAAGGCGUGAGCCGGAGCCAAUCCCCAAAGGUGCCCUCAGUUCAGAUUGCAGGCUGAAACCCGCCUGCAUGAAGUCGGAAUUGCUAGUAAUGGCAGGUCAGCAUACUGCCGUGAAUACGUUCCCGGGUCUUGUACACACCGCCCGU
This 495-nucleotide ribosomal RNA is filed under the name uncultured bacterium. Its description in RNAcentral is "bacterial SSU rRNA". It matches the Rfam family "Bacterial small subunit ribosomal RNA", at positions 899 to 1397 of the family's 1533-position model. The record is from RNAcentral.